Molecule: long non-coding RNA, 797 nt
Filed under: Homo sapiens (human)
Lineage: Eukaryota; Metazoa; Chordata; Mammalia; Primates; Hominidae
Description: HSALNT0296296
Source: RNAcentral
CUCCCUUGGCCCCCGCCUGGUCCUGGAAGCAGAGCUGCGAGUUUCCCUUUUCUCUCGCUGUGCGCACUCGCAGCCCCGGUCCAAGCCCAGCCUCUCCAGGCAGGGAUUAGUGCAAGCGUCCGUUGGCCGGAACGAGCGAGGACAGCCUCUCCACCUCCCUGCCUCCCUACCUCCCUGCCUUCAGCACCCUCCCCUCUGCGGCUCCCCGACCCAGCCAUCCACAGCACAGCUGCCAGAAUCGCCUUUCCGUUCCACGGUUUUGAUCAUGUAACAUCCCCACUUGGAAGACCAGAGUGAGUCCCAGCGGCCUCAUAUGUCAGAUCUCAGUUUCUAACUAUGAGCAUCAAGGCCCUCCCCGAAGGCCCCCCAUCUUGCCUGCCCUGUCUCACCGGCCUUCUAUCCAAAAUCUUCCAGUGCAAAACUUCUGGUCAGAUUAUGCAGAACUUUAUAGCCUCUCCCUCCCCUACCCCACCACUUCGUCAUUCCGCAAGUAUUUAUUGAGCAUCUACAAGGUUCCAGGCACUGAACUAUGGGCUGCAAAUACAAAAACGAACAAAAGAAAUUAUCCUGCCCUUAACGACUUUACAGUCAAGUGAGGAGAACAGAAACAAGGAAAUUUUCUGGCUCCAGUUUGUCACUAAAACAACAUAGUUCACAUCUAAAUCUGAGCACAGCUAUGUAAAAUACACUAAUAAGCAGAUCGUGCACAGAUAAAAGACUGAAAUGAAAUGUACCAAAAUAGCUAUAGGAUAACUGUUUUCUUCCUUCCUUUUUUUUUAUUAUACUUUCAGUUUUAG